GGUCCUGGGUCUGAGCGACCCAGGAUCCCUGAGCAGUUAUGGCCUAAUAUUAUAAUAUAUAUUUUGUAUUGCUGUCCCUGGUUCUCCCUGCUUGUAUGUGUAUGUGUGUGUGUGUGUGUCUGAGCACUCGUUUAUAGGCGCCUUCAGGCCUGGUGGGUGUGGCCCUGCUAGGGGACUGGCCACACCCAAAGCCACACACCUGCUCCUGAUCAGGCCUCGUCGGGGGAGCUACUUAAGAGAGUCUUGGAGCUCCCACCGACGCGGGAUCAUUGCGUGAGACUCCACGAGGAGCGUGGGAGGCCUGAAGAGCAGCGAGCACCGGGAGUGCAGACACGGGAGCAGAGAGCACAAGGAGGACACGACACGGGAGUCUUGGGAAACACGGGGAUUUACUGUUGUUUUUCACCAUACACUGUAAAUAAACGCACUGUUCGCACACAGAGCACCGCGCCAGGGUCCUCAUUCCCUGCACCCCCCACGGUCUGCCAUGCCGAACCGUGACAGCUUUUAAGUCAGAAUGAGUUUGUAUUAUUUUUAUUUGUCUUAUUUCUUAGUCAAAUUAUCUAAUUUUAUGAACCUUUUUCUUAACUCUUAUCAUAUCUCCCUAUGUUUUUAUUUCUAUUAAUUAUCUUAAUUGUACAGCACCUUAGUCAAUGGUUGUUUUAAAUGUGCUAAAUAAAAAAUUUUGACUUUGACAAAGUGAGUCUGAAAGUCUGCAAGACGGCAGUUAACAGUUAAGUGUGUGUGUGUGUGUGUGUGUGUGUGUGUGUGUGUGUGUGUAUUAAUCAUUAAUAACACAGAGUUUUACACACAACUUUAUUCCUUCAUUUUUUUAUGGUGGUAGCAUAAAACCAGGUUAACUUAGCAAGGUGAUCACCAGUGUGACCUCUGACCCCAAACACCAGUGUAACCUCUCUCUCUCUCUCUCACACACACACACACACACACACACACACACGCACACACACACACACACACACACUUUGUUUUCUGAUCUGGAAUCAGUGAGGUGAUCCUGCUGCGUUGAAAUGAACUACUGUGUUGUGGUUUAAUUACACAAGUCAUAUCAUGAUUCAUAUGUUGUGCUAUAAGCAGAGGCCCAGGGCCCACUCACAGGUACCUGUGACAGGUGUUACACAGAGAACACACAACAGCUCCUGUGAUUACAAA
Oreochromis niloticus (Nile tilapia) is the source of this 1170-nucleotide long non-coding RNA. RefSeq lists it as uncharacterized. The record is from RefSeq and is a predicted model, not a curated record. Lineage: Eukaryota; Metazoa; Chordata; Actinopteri; Cichliformes; Cichlidae. The transcript is spliced from 2 exons.